Non-coding RNA from Rattus norvegicus (Norway rat), 1801 nucleotides. The record is from RefSeq and is a predicted model, not a curated record. Lineage: Eukaryota; Metazoa; Chordata; Mammalia; Rodentia; Muridae.
ACUUGGGGAACUGCACCAAUAUAGAAGCAAUGCUUUUUGUAAGGUACAUAGGCUUGUGUUUACAGGAUUAUCAGCUGGAAUGAUGUUCUAUGCCAAGAGGUGUCCUUAGGUCAGACGUAUUGUCACUUUUUAAACAUUCCCUUUUCUCAAGCUAGCAUGUUGAACCAUGUCUGUAAUCUUACCUUGGAGCCUUCUCCUUUAUAAAUGUCAUGAUUUAGAAGACAGUCUAUGUAACACCUCGUGUUCAGGUCAGUUUAGAGUAUUGGUUUAGUUCCUGUGUGAGACAAAUUAAAAGAAUUAAGUGUGUAUAAUACCUGUGGGUUACUUGCAUCCUAGAAUUGUUACCAUGGUAUUGUGAAUAUUUCGCAUGGUCAAUAUAUGUCAUUAGAACAGGAAUCUCUUACUGAAUUCUUCUUUCUCAACUAUAACUACCUAGAGAAGUCUAGAUCAGGUAUAGCUUUGACUUUUUUGAAUCAUUUUUCUGUGUGAUACAUAGAAUGAUUUCAUACUUAACCAGAGCUUUGAGCUCCCAUUGCAACCCAGGAGCCCUGCAUCUCUGUCAUGCUGUAGCGAAGCUUUUAUAAUUGCAUUUUGUAGGGUCACUAGUGUGCUUUCUGCUCCUUAUGUUCUAGAGUGUCACAAGAGUGUUACAUGGAUUCAUACUACAUUAGAUAUUAAAUGUGUCUCCACCCCAUGAUGGAUGGAAAGAUAGUUUGCUGUUUAAUAACACUGGAUGUUUUCAUACACAGAACACACAUGGUCUUCAAAAAUCUUCAUUCAUUCUAAUACCAGGGCAUUGAGUAGAGUCAUGAGUGUGAUUUUGCUCCUUAUGUUCUAGAUUGUUAUAAGGGUGUGUCGUCGAUUCAUAAUACAUCAGAUAUUAAAUGUGUCCCCAUGGUGGCAAGAAAGAUGGUUUGCUGUUUGAUAACACUGGAUGUUUUCACACAGAGAACAUAUAUGGUUUGCAACAAUAUUCACUCAUUCCGUUACCAGGGAUCCUGACAUGUUCCUCUGGCUUCCGUAGGUAGCAGUCAUACAUCUAGUACACUGAAAUUCCUAAAUAAAUUGAAAAAUGUUUUUUCCAUGAUUCUGUACAGAAAAGUGAUUUGCAGAAAAUAUUUUAUGUAAUACUCUAGCUAUAUAUUCUUACUUCUUUUGAAUUCUGAUUAUACUAUGAGUUGGUCUACAAAACAUUUACCCUAUUUGUUCUUUGUAGUUAGAUUUCUAACUUACAUUAUUUUCAAGAUGGUCUAACCUAAAAUUCUCCUUUUUCUUUGUUUAGCCUUUUGCGACAGAUCCCAGAACCAAACUUUAUACUAUUAAAACAUCUCAUAUGUGUAUUAGUAAUAAUAAAAGAUUCUUCCAUGAAUAAUUUAGACAGUUACAGGUUGUCUCUGAGCAUAGCUCCACAUGUACUGUGGGGUCAGACUUCGAGAGAUUCAUCAUGUGGGAGUGACGUCUUACGAAAGGAAACCCUAGGAUUGCAUUCUUAUGGAGUGGAGUAGAAUAUGUAUUGAUCUAUUUCAGGAAGAUUUGGGAAGGGAGAUUUUUAAUGUAUUUUAAGAAGUCUCUUAUACAAAUCAUGAUUGACAACUAUGAUCAAAUAUUUGGAAAUGAUGAUAUAUUUAGUAAACACAUUGCAAAAGGUCUGAAGACUUAAAGACAUACAAAGAAUCAAUAAAUUAUUCUGGAAAAUCUCCUAUUAUGACAAAAGCCAUAGCUGGACACAACUGGAAAACCAAUGAUAUUGAUGAAAAAUUUAACAUUUCAUAUGCUGCACUGCAGGAAGAAGGUCUUACAG